AGCUGAUCGAGGUGGUGGCCUUUCAUUCCCCACACCAUAAAGCCCUUCAUCCCUCAGGUCCUGUUUCUUGGGAUUUCUUCAUCUCAAGGAGAGCAGCUGAAGACAUUUGCUCAAAUCUGCCUUGCUUAAUCCCUGUUUGGCACAACUGAGAUAUCCAGUGACAUUUCCACCUCCCUGCAGAACUGGAAUGCUAAAGAUCUGGAUGGCUGGACUCAUACAGGAGGUGAUAUAUAAAUAAAUCUGAGAACUGGAGAUGAUGAUGCCAGACAGAAUAUUAAUAAAAUCUCCUUACUCCUGCUUCUACCAUAUCUCUGGAGGUAAAGAAGAGAAUUUAGCUGCGUACCAGUUGCACACAAACUACUCCCUACUGCCAAAUGUUACAGACAAGAAGUUGCCAGGAAAGCAGUGCAUCUCAAGAAUGGCGAUGCUGAUGGCUCGUUGCAGACUGGAGAAGGCUCCCGGCAUGGCAGCUGUCUGGACAAACUGCAGGAGCAGGUGCCAGAAGUAGCGAGUAUUUAAAUAUAUGUCCAACGUGGAGCAGGAAAUUGAAAAUUGAUUCUCUACAGCAUUUAUCUGAGAUGUGGUUCAAGUUCUUCAAGUUAGCCAAAGCAAAGAGCUUCUACUCUCAGUGGAAUGCCAGCUUGGCAGACAGUCUGGAGUUGAUUCGGUGGCAUCUUUGAAGAGAAAUUCAGAAAUUGUGUAUUUUUUAAACAAGUUUCCUAAAUAAGCAUGGAAGGUAAAAAAGACUCCAAGAAGGAUUUUUAAUUACCUAUGUAAUGUUCAGGCACCUUUUAGUGGAGACAGAGGUGAUGAGCUGGCAAAUAUGAUUGAUGAUCAGAUUACAACUCCUAAUGAUUUUCUUUAGCUGUGCUGUGGAGUGACUGCAGGCUCUGACACAGAUCAGCCUUCUCGUGCUAGCUCUCAUACACGUAGACAUAAAGGAGGUGGCUUCUGCCCAAAGCAUUAACCCACAGACUGCAAUAGCAGCAAGCCUGGAGAGGACCAAAAGCUAAGAAGACAAAAGGUGACAGCCCGUUGCUGGAGCCUGAAUAUCCUCUGACACAGACGCCUGGUGUGUGGGUGGCUGUUCCCACAAGCACACAUUCGCUGCACACUGGUGGCUCAGCCUCUGCCAUGGAAGUGCAUUUACUCUCCUUCAGCUUUCCAACCAGUUCCCAAGGUUGCUGAGUACAGCUGCAGCACACGAGUGCACUCCAGGAAAGCUAAGUGCCUACUGUGAAAGUAAGUGGCAAGACAUAAAGUCAUAUUUUCACUAAUGUUUCCAUGAAUUUGAUAUAGUAACAGGGGUGUACUGAUUUGAAACGGUAACCUUUGUCACUCUGAGUCCUCUAUAAACGAGUGGUUAAAAUGGCACUUGAGUGUUACACAGUUUAGUGAUGCUUUUCUCAGCAAAAUCAAUGAAACUGGUCUUGGGUAAAAUGUUUGCAAGAAUAUAAAAGUGACUUAGACAAUUCCAUGCCUAAGCUUGAGUUUGGUAGAGCAGCACC
This 1508-nucleotide long non-coding RNA is filed under the name Anser brachyrhynchus (Pink-footed goose). RNAcentral describes it as "lncRNA (ENSABRG00000017542.1)". The record is from RNAcentral. Lineage: Eukaryota; Metazoa; Chordata; Aves; Anseriformes; Anatidae.